This 480-nucleotide ribosomal RNA is filed under the name uncultured bacterium. RNAcentral describes it as "partial 16S ribosomal RNA". It matches the Rfam family "Bacterial small subunit ribosomal RNA", at positions 28 to 507 of the family's 1533-position model. The record is from RNAcentral.
GAUGAACGCUAGCGGCAGGCCUAACACAUGCAAGUCGAGGGGGAAGUUACUUUCGGGUGACUGAGACCGGCGUACGGGUGCGUAACGCGUAUACAAUCUGCCUUUCACUGGGGGAUAGCCCGAAGAAAUUUGGAUUAAUACCCCAUAGUAUAUAGGGACGGCAUCGUUUUUAUAUUAAAGCUUAGGUGGUGAAAGAUGAGUAUGCGUUCUAUUAGCUAGUUGGAGAGGUAACGGCUCCCCAAGGCGAUGAUAGAUAGGGGUUCUGAGAGGGAUGUCCCCCACACUGGUACUGAGAUACGGACCAGACUCCUACGGGAGGCAGCAGUGAGGAAUAUUGGACAAUGGUCGGAAGACUGAUCCAGCCAUGCCGAGUGCAGGAUGAAGGUCUUAUGGAUUGUAAACUGCUUUUGUAAGGGAAGAAUAAGGGCUACGCGUAGUUUGAUGACGGUACCUUACGAAUAAGCAUCGGCUAACUCCGUG